GUGCUCAUGGUAGGUUUCAAUUAAAAAUAUAAAGACCUCACUGAAAAGGUGAUACUUGAACAAAUUCAUGAGAAGGGUCACUUAUUGAACCAGUGGUGGAGCUGCAGUGGAUCCUGGAUCUUCCUGGCUCUACAGCCCAGAGUCUCACCUGUGUAGGGUUGUAUCGAGCUGCGAGGACAGUGCUGGGGAGGAAGGAUUCCUGCCCUCUUCAAGGACCCUCUAGCUGGACUCAGAAUCAAACUGAUACCAGUU
Long non-coding RNA from Suricata suricatta (meerkat), 252 nucleotides. RefSeq lists it as uncharacterized. The record is from RefSeq and is a predicted model, not a curated record. NCBI's taxonomy places the organism in Eukaryota, Metazoa, Chordata, Mammalia, Carnivora, Herpestidae. The transcript has 3 exons.